CCGCUCACAUCCGGGCAACGCCGCGCCCCUUAUAAAGCGCCGCGCUCGCGCGCUGUGACGAGGGGGGCGGCGCGCGCCGGGCGACCCGCGGACCCACCGGCGGACGGACGGAGCGAGCGAGCGAGCGACCCCGCGGGCGCGCAAGAUGGAGGGGCCGCGCUGCCCCGCGCAGGCGUGCUCCAAGCCCCCCCCCUCUACCCCCCCGCGCUUUGUGCGCGCCGCCGGGCCGCAUCGCCGAGGGCCCCCGGUGCCGGGCUGCCCGGGGGGGGGGGGGGUCUGUGCUUCCCCUUUUUGCCUUUUUUUAAUUUAUUUCAAGCGCCACCCGAGCACGUAAUCCGGGCGACGUGCAAAAAGCAGCUCUGGAAAAUUGAACCGCACGUGUGAACGCGGGGGAAGGGCCGGGAGGGCGAGGGGGUGCAGGACGCGGCGAGAGCCCCCCCCCUCCCCGGGAAGGAGGCCCUGCGGGUGGGGGGCACCAGUCCAGGGUGGCAGCAGGGGGGACGGAGGCCCCGCUCUGGAGCGGGCGGGCGGUGGGGGAAGCAGACCCGGAGCGGGAGGCUGGUUGGGGCAGCAGGGCCCCGCCGCCUCCCCUCCUCGGGCUCCGCAGGGCGGGCGAGGGUCCUGCCCCUGGGCCGGGAGGUAGAGCCCAAACCCCUAACGGCGGUGACGGGAGAGCAGAGGUACCAAAACUUGAAUUUUUUGCAGCCAGGGAAUGGCACGCCUGGGAGCGAAGGUACCGGGGCGCGCGGAGGUGCCUACCUGGCGCUGGGCGCGACCGCCUGCGGUCCGCCACGCUGCCCCUCGUCCCUGCUCCCGCGGUCGAGGCCCCUCAGGAGCUCGGCCGAGCCGUGGAGACGUGCCGGGUGGCGGCUGGAUGCGCUGCGGGCGGCUCCAGGACGGCUCGGAAAGGGCUGGAGGGAGGCCGGGCCCUGGGCGGCCGUGCAGAGCCCCUCCGGCCUUCGCGGCCUCGGAGCUUCGGCAGAGCUCCAGCGAAAGCCCUCCGGAAAAAGGAGGUUGGCGCAGGCAUCUCCCCAAAACGAGGUGACAUCCACUGCUGCAAGGGCUCCGUCUUCUCGCUGGGUCGUGACGUUUUGGAAGAAUUUGGAAGAAGGAAUUUCUUCACAGGCCCUGCCGCACAGAGCGAAGGUCUGUUGCCCCACCAGCUGAUGGAGUAAUGAAGCUUCCCCUGAAUGGCGAUGGAAAGGCUUCAGGAGAAAGAAAUGAAAGAUUAGAUGAAUCUUCACGGAUCAUGAGCUCCAAACGGAAAUCCUCAGUGGCUCUCAACCCGAAUGUCCAAUGUGACGAAGUGCAAGAGAGAAACUCCCUCGGGCUAUGAGAAACCGUAAAAGCCAUCAAAGCCAUCUCAGCAAACAGCCGAAACAUCAGAAAUGCAAAGGGUCAGUGAAGGAAUAGGAGGAUAAGGAGAAAAGCAGACUGUCUCAAGGAAAGAUGUGCUUCUUGCAUGAAUAACUUCCUAACAAUCUGCUGAAGGAGUGAUUUUGUAUCAGCCUGAAACCCCAAACCAGCAUCAUUUUAAUUUGCCAAGCACCUGUGAAAGAAUGCAGCUGCAAGACCAUGGGAAAACAAUGGGAACUCUGACAGUUCAUUAAUAUAAACCAGCAACUAGAUUUAUUUGGAAAAGUCAUUGAUACAGAAUUACACUGGAGGACACAGUGGCAUUCCUGAAGUACGCCAGCAAGCAGCUAACUAAGAUUAUAGAUGUGUGUACAUCAUUUGAACUUCAAUGGUUAUUUGUUUGUUCUGGUUUUUUUUCUGGUGAAGCAAGAGUUUGGAAGAUGCGAGCCCUAUUUAAAAUCGUGAUAUGCACAGAUGGGAACCCAAGAACAUCUUCAUGCAAAAAACUGUUCUCGGAUGCAUUUUGAUCUAAGUGGAUACGUCCCUGUCCUAGGCGCAACAUCUUGAUUUUGGUCCACGAGGUGCUCGGAGGGCGCAGCCACGGCAGAUGCCAUCACCGACCUGCGGCCGUGGGGACACGAGAUGAGGUGGAACAUGGAGAUCUGGAUUGCUUCAGAAGAGCCAAGAUUUUCUGUUUCCUGGGUAAAAGCUCUAGUGGUCUCAAGAACUGCUCUAGCAGAGGAGACCAGGCUGCCGAGUUGGCUCUCACGCAGAAGACAUGAUGCUAGCAGCGUUUGUGAGGUUUCUUCAGAUCCACAUCCUCAGAAGACAACGCGGACAUCUUGUGCUGCUCCAGGAGAAUUUUCUGGACAGUUCUGAAGACACAUAUGAAAUUAUAGUUCAGCCUGUGUGCACUGGGGCUGCUCUGUGGUGGGGAGAAGCAGGACCUAUGGCUCCAGAGAUGGCCAGGCUGGUUGGACCAGGGUAGGGGCUGGUGCCCAGGGAGGCUGCUCAAGCCAGCUAAGACCCAUCAGUGCCCGCCCUCAGCUGCUGUCAUGUCUGUUCUCCAGUACUACUUACUUUCAUCCUUAAUGCACAAAAAAUACGUGUUAUGUGUUCAGUUCUUUGUGAAUGACAUCAUAACCUGCCUAAAUCUCAAGGUUUUCACCAAGAUCCAACUUCCCAAAGUCCUUAGGGAUUUAAGAUCUUGGUUUAGGCCACUACUAAGUAGGACAGCCUGCUGAAAUCCAGACUUCAGUGUCACGUCCCUGUAAAGCAGGAACAAAGCAGUAGGGAGUGAGGAUACCAGAUCUGAAAUGCUGACUUAGACUAAUAUCUCUUUUCUUCCUUUGCGCCAUUUAUGUGAUUAUUUUUGUGAUUCAUGUGUUCGAAAAUCCCUGGGAAAAAAUAAUCUUUUUUUCAUUUUUGCUUUGCAAGUCACUUUGUAAAGAACCACUUUGGUGUCUUUAGAGGGCUUUAAGCCCACCUGUUUCCUCUGUAAAGCACAGAUGAGGAAACACGAGCGAAAGGCUAGCCCGGCAUCGACCGUAGAAUUCAGGAACCUUAAGUGAAACUAAAUAUAUUGGUCCCACAUCUGGGAAGAGUUUUUUAAGAAGGAUUUUCGCUAUCAAAGUAGAAGAUUUAUUUCACUUAUAAAAGGACAGACGGACCCUGAAGAAAGUAACAUUCCUCUUGUUCUGGCGGCAGCGGAAACCCUGCGACUACCCGUGCUGGGGAAGUCGGCGUUUCUGAACUCUGCCUCCGUGCACAUUAAAAUCAAGAUGUCAGCAGUACUUGAGGGAAGGAGUUACUCAAAGAACAAGGGACCAAACCCGAGAGGCGAAUCCAGUGACGGGACUCUUGCAUUGCUGCCUGCUCCUUCCUAUCUCGAUGUGCUUAUGUGGACACUUGAAUGCCUCUAAGGUCACUUGGAUAAUCUAAUACCGCUCAGGAUGAUAUCUGGCUCAGGCAGGAACUCUUACAAGGCUUUAAAGAACAUUUGUCUUCAUUAUUUCACACCCUCAUGUCUGUAUGAUUGAUCUGCGCUGAGUUUUGUUUAAUUGCUCGGAAGGUCUUGAGGAGUGACAUUUGGAGCCAGCCGAACGGAGUGUCUGAGCUCCCUCUGCUGCUCCGCCGCACGCAGCGAUCGCCACGGCCGGCGUCCCCGGCCACGGGCCGCGCUCCGCGGGGCGCACGCCGAGCCCGCCGCCGGCCCUCCUGCUGCGAAGAGCGAAGACCGAGAAGGAAUAGCGCGUUUGCCAGGUGCAGAAGAGCCAGGACAGGUCUGGCACGUGCUGCCAGCUUUCUGAUAGGGUGUCACAAAGGCUGGAGAGCAGCAGCUCCCAUGCUGGAGAGAUGCCGAAGCUUCGCUUUUAUGGGUGCAACCUUCUAGUUUGACUGCCUACACAAGGCUCUUUGGAGACCCAGUUAGUCCGCAGCCAAAGGAGUUGAUUUUCCAGUGAGAACACCACUCAUGCUGGUGGGUCCGACCCCAGCCAGAGGACCCAGUGCCUGGGCGGGUACCUAGAGCAAGAUGAGGACUGGCUGGCUCUGUCCUCCAGGAUUGCAUAAGGCCAAGGGCUCAUGCAGAUGAGCUGCAGAAAGCAGGGAAGGGAAGUAGGCCGUAUGAGCUCUCAGGUUGUUGUGCUGUGUAGGUUGAUGGUCUGGUGCCUUGCACUUGAGUCCUGCCACUGCAGGUGGGCUUGGAGAGCUCGCUUGUUAUCCCUUGCAGAGAGCUAUUUCAUCUGCGUUAGUGGCUGCUCUUCUCCCUCCUGGAACAGUUUAAGGUGCCGGUGCUAUAAAUCCUGGGUUGUUUGGAGAUUUGUAUCUAUUAUACUUCAGUCUGGCUACUAAAGAUACAGUUCUAGUAACAGAAAAAAUGUGUGCUUAAGCUGAAUUUAGGUGCUUAAAAGCAAGAUAGCAAGCUGCAGAACUUCAUCUUUUCUGCGUAAACCCUGGAGAGGUUGUAGGCCCCUGGCUCAUGACACAAAGCUUGAAUAAGUCCCUGGGGCUCCUCUGUCAUGUGCGUCCUGCAGCAGCGGUGCUGGGGCUCGCCUGAGCAUCCAAGGUCAUCCAAGGUCACUUGUGCUUUUCUGGUGCAGGCGGCAUCUUGCCGACGUUCCUGGCAGGGUUUGACCAGAGGGGCUGGUCUGACCUGCUGGAGGCACCCAAAACCCGAGGGCAGCACUCAGCACAUCACCACAGCCCUUGCCGUAAGGACCACGGUGAUGGCAACCCAUUCCCUGCAGUGGUGGCUGGCCCGGGAGGUCAGCCAAGGAGCUGCUUGGGUUCCUCCUUGCUCAGGCAGGGCUUUCUCCCGCUCCUUCCACCUCCCAGCUGAACAGCGUGCCGGCUGUCCCAGACCUCCGCGGCCCUGCACGGACCUGCACAGCUCGGCUUUCACCGCUGGCCUCCAUGGUUUCUGCCUUUUAUUUAAUGAUAAGCAACCACACGGUCCUGGAGUUGCCUUGUGCAUCGGGGCCUAGGUGUUUAUCAGUGGAGUUGCUUAAGCUUGGAUCUCCCUCGUUCAAAGGGGAAUGAAAUGAUACUAAACCUCCAUAGCUGAAUCUCAGCUUUCAAACUCUUCAUCUUCCGUGCAAACCCUUGUUGUUCUUUUUUUAAUGCUGUGCAUGCUUGAGAAUGGUAGUUGUUGUUGUUGUUUUGAACUAGUACUGUAUUUUCCUGAACAGAUGUGGUAAUCUGGCAAGUAUUUCAUGGAUUUUAUUUUUGCUCUGUUUCAUAGUUUGACUUUAGUUAAAACAUCUGGAUGUUUUAAUUGUGGCUGGGUGCUGCUUGUAAAAAAGGAAGUACUGGUAAGAAAAAUACUAAAAUAAUUUAAAUCAUUUUAAAAUUUAAAUAAGUUAUAGGAGGUUUAAUUUGAAAUGGGAGUCCUAGUGCCAUAUAUUAUUCAAAGACCUAAUACUAGAUGUGGCCUUGAGAAAUUCCUACAUGCUGGAUAUGACAGGUAGAUUAUUUUUCUUUUUAUUGUUUACUUAGGCCAUGGUGCAAGGAAAGGUAUAUAUGCACUUGACUUACCUCAAGCCAUGUAAGGUUUCAUUAAUUUUUAGGGAACAGCCCUGAUGUUUAGAGCAAGCAUAUCCUUGAAAAGCUGAGAGAAAUGAGAGGUCUUCGUGCUGAACAGUGUCUACAGCAUAGUCUGCAUCAUUAGAGAUCCGCUGGUCCUGUGCUCCAUAUGCCCCAGCACCUACAUACAUUUCCCUGCAGAAAUCCCAGCGUUAGCUGUGUCUGAGGUCUACAAGGGCUUCCUGAAAUUGUUGGUCCACGUGAUUGUGAACCUCGCCUAUUCUCUUACAUCUGAAUUCACAUCUGUUUGAAAGAAAACCUGUUGUGAUCAGGUUACCUUUCCAGGUUGGCUCUGGACUUCAGUUUUCCCAUAACCCGAAGAGGUUGAUGUUGUGCUGCUGAGCAAGGUCCCUGGUGCUCCUCAUCCUACAGAGAGCUCAAAGAUAGGCAGCUAUUGCCAACCACGAGUCAUGCCGGGGACACUGGGUCCUGCUCUGUUUCUGUGCUUGCUGGUGUCGAACAGUCCAGUCCAGCCCAGAUCAAUAGCAAGACUCCAGCUCUCAGAGUGCCCCUACGUUGGCAUUUUAGCUCAUAUAAUAGUGUGCUUUUGAAGUGAAUCAUCCAGUUGUGCUGGACAUUUAGGCAUUGUGAUUCAGUCUGCUGAGUGACCUUGGAGCAUGAAAACUAGAUUCUUGCAUAUUUAAAUAAAAGAUGAUCUUCUGAAGCACGGCUAGGGCACUCCAGUCACUGCAACGGGCAUUUAGUCCAUAGCACCGUACUAGAGGGAAUCCAAAUAAACCAGCAAUGUGUACAGUGUGGAUGCUGGAUCCUCAGCACCAACUAUUUUGCUCUGUGGAUGGAUUCUGUUCUGCCACAAAACAUCCUGUUAUUGCACACCACAUAGGUAUAGCCUCUGAAUACUAACACAGAGCCAUGGCAGUCUUAAUUUGCCACAGAUGUCUGCAACUCAUCUUCAGGUCCCAGACUGAAAGGACCAACGUGGCGUGUCACAGCUGCAUAGCCCCAUGGAGAUGUGAAGUAGGAUCUUCACCUACAGCAACCAAAAAAUCCUUGGGGCCACCAAGCUCCACUGUUUCCUUGCUUGGUUGGUGUCAGUGGGCAAAGCUGACCCAGUUCUGGCCUCGUCUCCGUUGGUUUACAGCUGUUCUUCACGGACGAGGCAGCACAGCAAUCUGCACUGCAGCUGCGCACGAGAGCGUGGCGAGUGUCACUGGAGACUGUCCCCAGCUGAGACCUGGGGGCGGGUAACCAUCAGGAACGCUGCCGGUGAAGUAGAUGCCGUUUAGCAUAGCAAAUUAAGCUGAGGUCAUUAGGUUCACAAGAUAGAGUUAAUCAAUAUCUUUAUUUGCUGAAAGUGAGCAGAGUUAUUGAUAAACGAAAUUCUUUUUCUUACAUAAAAAGUGAAAGGAAGCAUGCCAGCCGUGCCGGCAGAGGUACACCACAAAGCGGAAGCAGAACUUUGGCAGGGAUUUCCUUGCGUCUCUUUUACAACUCCUCUUCUCGUGAAGCACAUUUCGGUGGCAGGUAUUCUUCACACAGCUAUAGAAAGAAAAAACACCUCCUUUCAUUGGGAUUCUAAUCAAGGAUGUUUCUGGAUUAAAUCCAGCAGAUCAGGGCAGUUCCUCAGGGUCCGAGAUACCAUGAAACAUCCGUGAAACAACAACUCCUCCAUCAUUUUGAAACAACAACUCAAGAGUUGCUCAGUUUGUGCAGUUCUCAACCUAUAUUUUACUGGAGAGGAAGUCUAAUAAGUCUUGCGCUUCUAACAGUGAUGCAUGUGGCCUUCUGCAGCAUUAGCCCUAGUUUUCCUAGGUGUAAGUAGGGCAGCAGAGAGGGGCCUGGCCUGGCUCUAUUAACAGGCCCAGGGGACAUAGAAAUGUUUGGAAAGCAUUGUGCUACAGCGAGAAGGAGAAGGAGAAAGGCGCCUGGGAGGAGGACGAGAGCUUGCAACGGCAGGCAAAAAUGAUUUUUUUCCUUUUGCUUCGGGGUCUGGAACAUCACUCUGUUGCCCUGGAUGGAGGUGAGGGGAGAGGGACGCCUAAGGUGAAAAUCAGUACGUAUCCGUGCCAGUGGAUGAAUAGACAGAUAGACAGAAUGACACAGGGUAAAGCCGUAUUGCAAGACGAAUAUGCUACAGGCUCUCGACAUUAACUAGUCAUUAUUUACACACUCAGAUAUCUAUGAUCCGGUGCAUGGACACAAAAGCUGUGGAAAAUAUCUCCAUUUUCAAACCGAGUUUUAAUUAUUUGUAAAGACUUCAAUUGUUCAAUAGAUAAUGUCAUGGAUUGGUCCUCACAGUGUGAAGUGCAACCGUCCAGAACCCCCACAGUAUUAUAAAUAGGCUUCGAAGCUGGGAUUGAUUGAUGUUUGGCAUAAAAUCUAUUCCUCUGAGCAUGUAUAUUCCUUCUGUUCACCAGUUUCAUACAAAUAUACUUGGGCUGAUUUUUUAUUCAAAUCUCCAAUUUAUGUAGGGUUUAAACUGUUAAAUAUUUAAAGCCUUUUUCAUCUUUUUUUUUUCCUCUUUUCUGUUAGAGGUAACUAAAUCUUUUCCCUAACACAAACAAGACUCGGAGAUUUAGCACAUUCCUGUGGGGGAGAGAAAGGGUUUAUUAAUUAUAUUGAGACUCAAAUAAUAUGCUUCCUUGACACUAAUGUUCCAUCAGUUCCAACCGCAAGUAUCCUGUGGGAUAACUUUAAAGCCUUUAUCAGGAUCUAGAUUACUGCAUUUAUGGCUCCACAGAAGAAAGAAUUUAAUGAACAGCGUUCUGAGUUUGAAAAGAGAAUCUGAGAUAGAGCGAUAUCAAGGUAUAAAAACUAUAACAAUGAGAAGUUAUUUCAGUGGAAUCUCUGGGACUCCAUAAUGAAACAUCAAAUAAAGAUUGUCUCUGCCUCAGGACCUGAUUUCCAGUGAAAUACUCUAUCUCAGUGCAGUGCAUUUGGAAGCAGCCAAUACUUGGAAAUAUUUGGUGAAAACAUGCACAAUGAACAUUAUCAUAUGAGUUUGUUGUACGUAGUGUCAGUAUGUCCUACAGAGUCAGGACACACUGCAAAAUAACUUAUUUAGAGGCUGGUGUUCAGGAUGGGUUUUGUGAGACUGUGGUACCCAUCAGACACGAAAUAUCACUCACUGAGUAACGAGACUCUUCCUUUUUAUCCUUGGAUUAAAAUAGUUUAAAAGUGUCUAUCAAACUCAAUCCUCAGUGGAGCUGGAAAACUUCAGCUCUUUGGCUUCAGCGGGGACCCGUCUGAUCCUGCAUGAGACCAGCAUCUAGCAAAGGCUCUCUUCCAGGAAACCUCUUGAGCAUAAGCAUUGUUUUAAGACUGUGUCAAAUUCUGUGGGGCUACUUACGACGGGACAUUAAACAUGAAGUUAACUGUGACUUAGGCUUCUGCUGGAUUCUGGCCAGGAUGAGAAAUUUUGCUUUCUGUAUGUGUUUAGCUGUUGCCAGAGCUCAUCCUUGAUUUGACCUCCAAUUGUGAGACACUUAUGGAUGAGUUCUCCGGAGCAAGCCGAUGCUCCAGAAGCCCUUUCCUGAGGAAAGUGUGUGGUGACACGCAGCGGGCCGUGUGACUCGUUAUUUCUAGCACUGGCCUUAGGGGCCAAAUUCGAUGAGGCUCUGAGCACACUUCACACAGUCAGACAAAACACAGUAUUUUCCCCCUAGACCAGAAUAAACAACUCUGAAAUGAAUUUUAAUAUUGAAGAGGAAUAAAAUGGCAUUCAGAAAAGUCAGGCUUUGAGAAGAUGCAUCUUUACACCUUACUUUCAUUAGUAGUGUGAUCAGCCUAAGCGACCAGAUUUGUACUCUCAUAAACUGAUUUUGCAGUAAUGCAACCUUUGUCAUUUAAUUACACUUAAUUUAUAUCAGCAGAAGUGGAAAGAAGAACAGAUCCUAAGGUGCUAGUAUGCCUCCUCUUUGUAAUGCGACUCGCUGCCUCGACCAGAUCAUUGCCUAUGGGAGAAGACCGCUCGGAAGAUAGCUGGGGUAUGGCAUAACGCUGAACGCCGUCCGUGCACAUCCUCCUCGGUGCCUGCUUCCCAGGCGCCGGCAUCAUCCCAGCAGCUGCAAAGCCUGCGGGUUUAGCUCCUGGGGUAACUCAUCCAACCUGCCAGCACUAGGCACGCUGGUGCUCUCCUGAGUGCUGGUGACCAUGGUGCAGAGACCUGCACUUCAACUCCUGAGGACUUGAGAAGUUUUGGACAAGUUUCUGCUGUCCAGCGGAGAGCUGUGACCCAAGCUGCUCCCCUUCCCCUGCUACUGCCUGGUCUCCGAGCUGCCCAGCGGGAGUUUGUCGUGGAAAUGCCUCUGCGAACCUGUGCUCUUGAGCUGCGGGGCCUCGCGCUUGCAGCUCUAAUCGUCCUUCUUUUACUUCUUGCUAACAGCCAACGUUGCAACUGAUAUCAAAAACCCGUCGUGCCAUUUCACCCACCGCAGACGGCUGCAGCUCAGGUCUGUGCUGUGUGCUGGGGCCUUUGGGGGCCCGAAAGCAGAGCUAAUGGAAAGUCAGGUUUUCUUUAGAAACACUCCUUGCAGCCAGAGAAAAGCACCAAAUCCCCUGUCCCUCGCUGUACCCGGCCAUCGCGGACAGCGUCAGCAGCACAGGACGACGUGGCCACAGCAUCCAGGGCAAAGUGCUGGGGACACUGCAGAGCUCAAAGCAGUAGAGAAGCAGGACUGAUGAAAAACGUGCAAAGCAUGCAAAUAAUAAUAUCAGAAAUUUUAAAACAAACAGUAUUAGGGUUUACAAGCAAUCAAGCCUUUAAAAUUGCAUUGCUUAAAGCCCAUUAAACAAAGCAAAACUCCUCUCCAAAUCAGUAAAUAGAAGUUGUUUACAGCAAACAGAAUAUCACUGAAAAUUCUCAUUUCUGAACUUUUCACAGAUAAAAAAACCCCCAGCUUAUCAGUUAUUCAAACAUCAGCAUUAUUCCAAAUUGAUUCAGGGAUGGCUGCUAGACACAUUUAUAACAUAAGAGAAACAAAAUAGAGUCGGACCUGAAGAAAUGGUGGAGGAAUGUUGGAGAGGGACCCAGGUUGCUGGUUUUAAAAUUUUUGCCUAAAAUCAGGCUUCGGGGUUCCUAUUUUGGCAUUCAGAUAAUAAGCCUGAAUUUAAGAAGUGCUGAGUAUUCAAAGGAACUGAAAAAUGCUCCUCUUGGGUGGAAACUAGACCAUCGUCAGGUGUCUAGCUUCAUACGGCUUGCUUACCAUCAAUAAAUUGCUGCAUCAUUUAGUGCCGAAAACACAUAUAUAAUUUUAGUCUUAGGGAGAUAGAUUGCUCGUGCACAGUAUUUCUCUGAGUGUGAAACCUUUGCAAGGUCAGCUUACCAUUCAGUAACCAAAAGCAGAGUAAAAUAGAUGUUCCAAUACUCAGUGGAAGCUUAAACUAGGAAUUAAUUUAUAUAUUGUAGCAUUUGACAAACCUCAGCUCCUGAUGUCUCAUGCUCAGCCUUACUUUAUAGUCACAUCUGUUAGUUUAAAGCAUUUUUAGUUUAUUGAAGAAGCCUUUACAAAGAAAAAACAGAUGAUGAAAAUCUCAUCUGUCAAAACUGUUAUUAAAACCGGUAACAGUGUGAGGUUUUGUUUAAAUUGAAAGCAUCAUUUAUUUUUUAUCAAACAUUUUAUAAACAAUAACAUUUGAGAAGGAUUUGGGGGACCUGGAGAGCCCUCAACAAAAUGCAGCUCAUUAUGUUGCUUUGUUUAAUGUGCUGCUCAGAGAUAAGCAGUGGAUGCUUUCCAUUACCUCGAUGGGAGGUAUACUAGCUGGUGUGACUAGAGAGGUGGAAAAAUCACCUGUGCACAAACGCACAUUUAUCAGUCACAAAGAGAGUGGGGAAUAGCAAACGGCUGGGAAGUGUUCGCAUGAGCUAAAAGGGAAAAUGGGCAGAGGCACAUUUUCCGACCUCGGGUCUUAAAGCUUUUUUUGGCCCCGUUGAGAGCCAAUUUUGCAGAUUAAUUACCACAAUGGGAGACGAUAAUUGAAGGAGAGAUCUGACAUCCCUCUCCAGGUUGGGGGCCUGUGGCUGUGGCCAGGGAAAGGAAGGGGGAAUACAACCAAAGUUUCGGUGUGCGACUGUGCGUCAGGUUUAUCUGGUGCCGUGGGAGUGUGGAGGUCCUCGUCCCGUCCUCUCCCCUUUCGCAGAGGUCCUUGCCCUGUCCUUUACCCUUUCGUGAAGGUCUUCGCCCCAUCCUCUCCCCUGUCACAGAGGUCCUCGCCACAUCUUCCUUUUCACAGAGGUCCUCACCCCAUCCUCUCCCCUUUCGUGGAGGUCCUCGCCCUGUCCUCUGCCCUUUCAUGGAGCUCCUCGCCCCAUCCUCCUCCCUUUUGUGGGGGUGAAAGGUGCAGAAGGUGCAUAGAAAAAAUUGACCAUAAGAUGGGCAUAAAGCCAAUGGGUGGAUCUUCCAGCCCAUCCGUCUUAGGCAAGAACAAGCUGGGCAAAGAGAAUGGUCCUCUGUGCCUUGCCCGGAGCUGCCUAGAGCCACUCGCCGGGAGCCAUUAAAAUUAGUCUUUUUUUCAUUUUUGGAAUUUCCACCUCCAUGAGCAUCAGAGUAUGAAAAUGUAUGCGAGGCUUCUAGACUAAGUCAAUUUUUAAAUAUAAAAGCAGGCUAAGGUACCUUUCCAAAAAUGCAAUGCCAGACGCUUCUGAAGGCUUCAUAUCUUCAUCUACAGAAACUCUGGAAAAAGAAUUAUAUUCUGGCAAUUCUUUUUCUUAAACUCUCAAUUGAAAUAUGAGCAUUUCACACUUCUGUAAAACAGAAGUGCCUUUACCAUCCCAAUCUGGGACAAGCUGUUAGAAGUUCAUAGGGUAGGGGAUGCUUUUUAGGAGGAAGAUAUCACACAAACAUCACAAAUACUCUCUUUCCUGCAGGAUUACUAAAUGGGGUUUAAAUGAAUCAAAACAAGGUUCAUAGAACAACUUUUACAUUGCAGAAAACUAAGCAAAAGAACAUUUACAAACAAAGCAAUUGACUUUGUUGAUGAUUUUAAUCCCUUGGCCGCUGUUCCAAACAUUUAUGGUUGAAUUAAGCUAAUGAUGGGAAGAUCCCAAAGGACUCAGGCUGGCAAGUGGGAAUGGUGUUUUCCAAAACAUUCAGCAUUAACCUAACUCUGCUCCAUUGAAGGAAAGCUCGCAUUGGCUUCAGCGGGAGCUGAGCCACGAGGCGGCCGAGCACCGCUGCCGGAGCGGGAGAGGUUCCCUCCGGCGGGCCGGGCCCCCUCCCGCGGCGUGCACGGCUCCGUGCUCCGAGAGCCGCCGGCAGCCCCCCGUCUUCUUGCAUACAUUCUGCAAACAGGGAUGUUUGGGAUCCAGCUGUUCCUGUGUGGUUUCCUUGUAUUGUUGUGUUAUAUAAAGAACGAAAGAACAAAACCUGCCCUAAAAGUUUAGAUAUUUAUUGCAAGCUAUCUGUUCUUUCUCAAGCCAGCCGUAUUUUGAGAUCAGCCCGCCCCUCCCUCUGUGGGACAUGGACUUUUCGUAUUUUAUCUCCAUUUAUGGUUAUUGCAUUGUAAACAUGCAGCAAGCAGAAGUUAUCAUUUGCAUAUCUCUGAGAAUUAGCCAGAAAGAUUCUCUCUCCAUAAAUGAUUUAUAUUACAGCCAUAACAAUUGAGAGUCUGCUCUAGUCUGAAAUACCCUUUUAAAAUAUAUGCCCUGAUCUUUGACCUGGAAGGCAGAGCUGAUUAAGAUAUGCACAGAAAACAUUCAGUUAUGAAGUAGAGAUUAGCUGGGGAUCAAGUAGUGAUAAAGAAAGAGCAGUAGAAAGAUAAAUACUGGAGAGGAACUCUAUCCAUUAACUAGACAUGGGCUUACAUUAGAAUAUUUUAUCUAAUCCUACUCCAAACUUUGGAAUUUAUAUUCAAAAUACUUCUGGUUUUAGGUAUAACUUUACAAAAACCAAAAUCUGAUUCAUGGGGUUUUGCAAGAGCUGAGGUACCUAGUUUGCCUCUUAGUGCGAUUGGAAAUUUGAUUUUCCAAAAUCAAAUCAUGGUCUUGUGACUCCCUUUGGUCCUGCCUGCUCCUAUACUUUUGAGCUCUUUCGAUAGCACUUUAAAUCUGCCAGGGCAUGUAGGAUUUUGAAUAGCUGACUUUUCCCCAACCUAUGUGCAUACAUAUAUAAACAUAUAUAUUUCACACACACACAAUUAGCUAAAACAAUGAAUGCUAGAGAUAUCCCAGGUGACACACGGAAAGCGUUGUUUUCUUCUAUCAAGGACUCUGCCUUAUUCAUGUGCAUUGUUCAGAGCUCAGAGCUGUACAGUGAAGGAAAUUGUUGCCUUGGGACAUUGUCUUCUUUGUUGCAAAAGCUGGAAAAUACUGACAGAGGAAGAGAAUAGGAAGCUGGUAACUCACUUAAACCAACAUUUUUGAAGUUGGCCAUUAAUUUUGCUCUCUUUCUUCAUUCCUCUCUAUUUUUCUGAGAAAGCGUGUUUGAUGUGAUGCUAAUUCAUAUGAGAGGCCUCUUCUGAAGUACUGAGUGUCCACAUGUGUGACUCAAGUGGCUUGGGAUGCAUAAAAUGCUCCAGAAAACAAACUUGGCCUUAUCCUGCCACUGGGGCAUCCACACACUUGCGAUGGCUCUGGAACAGGGCAGUUUGAUCCAGAUCGUGUGUUGAGGGUCGUUUGCAGCCCUGGCCAUGUGUUGCAGAAGAUGGCAGGUGUGACACGUACCCCUAGAUGGGGUUCAAACUCCCUCCGUUAUACUAAGGCUUGCCAAGGGUAGUACUUUUCGACAGAAAGUGCUUCUUCCACAAAGUUUCUGCCUUAUUAACUUGUGAAUUAGCUCAGCAGCUAAGUAGAGGUAUCUUAUUUGGUUAUUUUGGAAGACACUCAAACACCAUUUGGGAUGUGAGGCAGUUCAGGAAUGAUCCUGUAUUCUGGUUGAAGGAACUGCUCUGUUUUGGUGUUUACCAGUUAUCUUAACAUCAUCCUUAUCACAAGCUAGAUAAGGCAAAGCUAACUAAAAUGAUGCAUUUUCAAAAGCCAAACAAAACACUUGCAUGGGUUAUAAAAGCAUCUGUGGAGAAGCAGAAGAAAACCACAACUCCCUCCACCUAUCCCAAGACCAGCUCGCUCGCUCUGUCAUUCAGUUGGCAGUCUGUUUAGACAGUUACCUAGUUACGUGGUUAGGGACCUACUUCUUACAUCCUCAAGUUGCGCUCAGAAAAACAGUUGUGUCUGAGGUCACAUAUUUACUUGUACACCUAGCUCCUUCCCUUGCGUUCCCGGCAGCAGCUCCAUUCAGGUACGAAUCUUCUUUCCAGGCCUUCUACCUGAGACUAUCUCCUUGUUCAACGCAGUGAGAAGGGCAACUCAGGCCUCCUUGUAUUUCACUGUUGACCACAGUGGUACGAGCCAUUUCCAGAUCGGUAAUCUAUUAUAAGGUAAAGCCUUCUCUUCUGUCUGGGAGAGCCAUGCUCAAGUUCUGACCAAAACCUCUUCAAUCACAGCACCUUGUAUUUCUAUAUCUUAUACAAGUUGGCAACCGUGUGUCGUACACUCACAUAAAUGAUGCUGAUGCAGGGAGAACAUUAGUGGCUUUGAUUGAAACCAGCCGUGAUGGCAGCCACCUUGUAGUGAUAAUGGUUUGGGGUGACUGAACCUAAAACUACUCGUCAAGAGACCGUGUGGUAUGUUCUACCUAAGAAAGACGGACUCAGAAAUAGGCUGGUGUGUCCAUCAGAGGCAAAAGCACUGGGACUCUCCUGUUGGGCUAGUGGACCUUCUGCUGAGUUCACUCUGCCCGUGAUUUAAGUAUCCUUCACGUCAAAGUCCUGGAGCACUAGUGCAUUGCAGCAACUAGGGAUGUGUGCCCCGUCAUCUGGGGAAGCCACCUUAGAGAGGAAAGAUCUUUCAGGACAUGUAAUAUUUCACUGGAUUCAUACAAUGGUAUAAGCUUCCUUCUCCAGAACUGAGUGCAUUUUUUCCACACAAAGUUCAUUUUUUUCAUUUAAAAUAGCAAAGGCAUUUUUUCCUCAUUUUCUCCCACCUGCCAAACCACAGUUCCUCAUCCUGUGUUUGGAACCUCAGUAAACAAUUCAAACAUCUUGUUAAAAUUUGAGCUAACACAGAGAGAACUCUCCAACAAGGUCCUUACCAGCUCAAAACUUUUUGAAAAACUUUUAACAAAAUUACUUUUUGGAUUUACAGUUUUACUGGAGCCCAGUAAAAGGAGGAGUCUGCUAGGAUUUUCUGUAUAACUCACAGAACAAUUUGCAAAUCUUUUCAUGGCCAAACUUGUCUUAUGAGUUGUGGCAAGACCACCAUACAAGGAAGGGUCUUCGCCUUUAAAGAUUUGCAGAGCAUUCUCCUCUUCCUUUUCCUACUACUACUCACUCCUGCACUCUGAUAGUCUCUGUAAUUAAUCCCAAUUGCUCUAGUUUUACAUUUAUGCACUUUAAUGGUUAAAAUUGGUUUUUCUAGCCUUUACAACAGAAAUCCACAUGUUUCUUGGCUACUUUUCAGCUGCUGCUGAUCAUAGCCAUCCGCAGCUCGGAUGAAGUUACGCAAUCUUGCCAACACUUAAUCGACCAUGAUCUGAAAAGCUGCUGCAUUGUUCAGUUUAAAAACUGUGGCCUAAACAUGAGUCCUGCAUUAGUGAUGAAUGCAGAUUUCUCCUGAGACGGCACUUCCAGCAGAGGUUUGACAGCGUUCUUCCUUCACGGCCACUGUGCUGAGAUGUUUUGCCUGUUUUAGGUAUCUAGUAAGUAGAGACUGGACACAGUUAUGGUGCUGAGCCUUCGCUCAUCCACACAGGGCUUUAUUCCUCUGUCUUUCUUAGUUAUGGUAAUCCCUGGAGGCUGUUAGAUUUGGCUACGACUGCUAACUCCAACAUGCCUUUUCGCUCCCUGCUCAUCUGCUCUGUCAGGUUAUUCCCAGCCUGUUUUACUUGCUGCUCCUGACUGGCAGACUUCAGUUUUUAACAGGGAUGGAAACCAGCAAAAAAUCUCCCACCUCCCCAGCUUUUUUAUAAGAAUUAAUUUUGGAAGUCUUGGUUCUACACUACUUUUUGUUGCUAAAAUACACUUUAAAUGGUUAGAGGCCUUUCAAUAUAGUGAGUGAUGAUUUCCCCAAAUUUAGUGAGAUCCCAUAGAUCCCUGACCUCUUAUCUCUACAGAAGGCUGAACAGGAUAAAUCUCAUGCAUUCUCGUGGUAUCUUGUGGUUUCCUCAUGGUAAGCAAGGGCCAGCAAUAAAUCCAAAUUAUAUGCUUUCCCAGGCACACACCUUUGCAAUGCGAGCUUAAGAACACCACUGAAUGUUACACCAAACCAGACCAGUUUGCAAAGGUACAGAAUUCACAUGUAUUAUUUCUCAUGAUUUUCAAACUCAUUAAUCAACAAAACCAUGAAAUGUGCCUCUCUGUCACGCAGUGUUUCUUUUGGGACCACCCAAUUGAAUAUGGUGAAGAAUACUCUGCCACUUGCACAGUGAACAGCUUUUAGUAGCAAAGUCCGUCAGAUAGCUUCUCCUUAAAAAAAUAGCAAAGAAUUGGUGACAGGCACAAACCAACAAGUGUGGACAACAUUUCUUUAGUUCUAGCAAGAAGGUAACCAGAGAUUUGGUGGCUACCAGCUCAAUUUUUACGGUUCUGACAGAAAAUGCAGUAGAAAUCCUUGUCUGUCCUCUGCCUGCCCAACCAGUGAAAGCUUUUUGCAAGCAGGCAGUGUGUCCCUGUGACCCCAGAUUGCCCACGGAUGGCCAGGGAUGUCACAGCUGUCACCGUGCUGCAGGGCACUUAGCAGGCAUGGCUAAAUGCUGCGUAGUCCUUCACAGCCUCUUUACGCCUGCUCCUCUCUCCUUUGGAGUUCAUGAGCAACAGGUCCUGGCAUGCUUACCUGCCCCGAGCAACAGCUUUUCUUUCUUCACAGGGAUUAUGUCCUCCCUAAGGAUCAAUUCUGCCCCUUGACUAGAGGCUUGCUCAUGCCUUAAACACACCUCUCCACUGUCUUCUAGAAUAUCUUGUAAAAUAUUUUUGCCAGAGAUUUUACUGGAGGCCUUUUAACAUCUCCCAGCAAUAGCUGAUCUAUGAUUUCCCAAGCUAUGGUGCUUGUGUUUAAUACGAUUAGGAAGGCAUUUGGAUCCAUUUUCUAGUACCACGAAGCACUGUGGUUGAGAUGCUGAGGUGUACCUGGGAACGGUUUGGAGCACUUGCAUUGGCUAACCCUGUAUUUUAAAAGGAUUUAGAGGAUAUUGCUGCAGAAGUGCUUGAAAGAGAUAACAGCAAUAAAGCUACUGUCAUUCACUCCUCCCUUUUCAUUAGUUUGAUACUUAAGCUAUUUCUACAGUCUAGUGGCAGGUCUAUGCAAUGCAAAGCUUUGGGGUUUGGAAGCACUGGAGUAAGCCAAAGCCAAUUCAAGGAUGAGUCUCUGAAUAUGCGGUAACCUGGCUUACUGCCUGCCGUGUCUACAACACUGCAGACAGAUGGACUUUCCCUGGGAGCUAGGGGCAUGAAAAGUGUAUUUUGUGGUCUGUGGGUACCUUACGUGCACAGCACACUCUAUCAAAAGAUGUGCUAUUAUCCCUAUUUAGGAAAGAGACAAUCAAAUUAGAGCAGUGUGGUCAGAAGACCCUUGGCUGCUAGUCCCUACCUUGCUUCUAGAGCAAUAAAUCUUAUCCAACUUCAGUGCUCAGCUCUGACUUCUCAAUGUCUGGUUUGGCUGCCUCCUACUUCUGACUUGCUAUCCUUAGCGUGCUUCACAGGCUUUCAGCUAUCUCACGCUUCUGGCUCUCUAAUCUUAGAGCAGCUUCUAACUUUAGGGUGACUUCAAGCUUCAGGGUCUCUCACUUUUGUUCUGGUUCUUUCUGGGACAUGGCCAAGUAGGUGAAAGGCUCUAGAAGGAUUUUCUGAGUUGCAGGCUGAAGCUAAACCCACCUUGGAAGCCAUCUUUUUUUUUUUUUUUUUUUUUUUGGCACUCUCCCUGGAUGUGCAAAGGAGUUUGGUCAGGAGAAGAUGUCUAUUCCUGCAUUCCUAAUACCUGAACUAGCUAGCAUUGCUUCUAUGCUAGCAAUGGUCCAAGUUCUCUCAGAAUUUUCCCAAGAUCAUGAAUGAAGCAUUUUCAUAAAAAUCCACGUAAGCAAAUUUCAUGCGUGUUCAGGAUCCGGUUCACCAUGACCGGCUCAGCUGAUUUCAUAAACCACAGGUUGCUCCUCUGCCUCGUGUCCUCCUGGUUCAUCUCUAUUUGUAUCGAAGGGUGACUAUAAAGUUUGUAUCAACUUUCCUCAGUAAAACAGUUCUUCAUCAAAUAAAACCUUCAUAGAUAGCAUUCUCUCCCACAUGUUUCAUGUGCAGACAUAGGCUCUGCUUGCUGGAAGAAAUCCUGAUUUUUCUGGUAUUUUCCAGUGCUCAAUUUUCAGAUCUGAGUAAAAAAGAACCCAUCCUCUACCUCCUUCUCACCAAACAUCAGCUUUGUCUUUUAAACACUCUGCUUUAGGAUGUGCUGUUAAAGAUAAGGCGUUACUCAAAUUAUGUUGCAAACAGGUACAAAUCCUACUGACUAUAUCAUGAUAGGGGAUGUACGGGAAUGGCAAGCACUGACUGGCUGGUUCAGGAUGGGCUUGUCCCUAAAGAGGGAACUGGGAUGAAGAGGAGGCUCCUUGAUACGAAGAGUCUGGAGUCCAGAGGAAGCUGAAGUCGCCAAAUGAGGAAGAAGGAUUUCCUUUGCUGAUCUUCCUAUUCUGAAGCAGGGUAGAAGCAGAGUUGUGCAUACUCUUUUCCUAGGCAAGAAAAGUCAACUGCAGUCAACCUUGGGAUCAGCCAGAGUGGCUACUUUUAUCUCUGAGCUUGAGCCGGUGGGAGUAGGGAAGGCCCAUCAAGAGCCACGGAUGGGCUGAAGUGCAGAGCGGUCCCAGCUGGCAAAGAAAUAAAUAAACCUGCAUGGGUCAGGCAGAAGAUCGUGGAAGUAAUGGUGGGGUCUGGCUGGUCAGAAGGAGCAAGGAAGAGCUCCUGGAUGACAGAAAAUACGGGACAGGGAAGCCCUGUGUCUCAUAAGCACGAGGAAACCGAGCUCAGGUUGCUCUAUUUCUUGCAUUUCCUCACAUGGCUCUGCAAACUCUAUAUUUUUCUCAGAUUGUAAAAAUAUAUAUGAAGACAUAUUGUCUGGAGACCAUCUCAUUUUUGAAUUCUUAAGAAUCUUUUGAGUGAUUCAAGGAGCACAGAAGGAAGUCAAGUAGCUUAGCUUAAUGAAUAAAAUAAAGCAGUUGAGAAAUACUGUCUCUCAAAUAACCAAAAGGACCUCAAGACAUCUUCAAGUCAUUAAAAAUGAAAUAAACGUCUUCUUGGCUUGCUUGUACUUACCUGAAUUGUGAUCCAUGAGAGGAGAUGAAUUUGGCAUGUCAUGGUUAGUGAAGAAAAAUGUGGAUACAGUAUGGAUUAUUCAAUUCAUUUUAUAUUUAUGGAAAUAUUAUGUGAGGUGCUUUGAAGCAUUCUAGCAAGCAUCUAUCUGUCAUAAUAUGCUAAUAAAACAAGGCAUAACCAGUUCAAUAAUGCUUCUGGACAUGAACCGUUGAUCACAGUUUGAAAAGAGUGACAAAUAUUUGGAAAUAACUGAAAUGAGGGUAAAAAUUAAAAUCUUUGUAAAGGUCACAUGUGGUCAGAUGCAUCACAGCUAUCAUUGACUAUGUGAAAAUUAGUUGUUUUAGUCUAAUAAAAUCCAAGUGGCCUCUCUAAUUAGUGGAGAGACAUUGGAAUUAGGAGAGAUGAUUUAUCCUGCCCGACCUUGGACAACUUUCAGAAAUAGAUAGGAUGGCCCCUCCUCCUCUUGAGGUACUCACCUAUUCCAUUUAUAGCAAGAGAAGCUGAGAAGAUUCAUUAGGUAAGACUAGAUGCCUAACUUCUACAUAACUAAAGUUAGAUGCAAUGAAUCCCAUCUGCAGAUGGGUGCAGUAAGUCAAAUACACUGUCAGCUGUAAUGAGUAGCAAUGAGAGUAGUCCUUGCCAUUACUGAAGGCCAAGUAAGGCUUCCUUUGAUUUUGGCAGAGCCAAGUUUCCUCUCCUUAGUUCUGGAAUACAGUUAUUUGCUACUUUUAUAAUUUCCACAGGCAUAUAUCCAUGUUCCAAUUACUGAGAUGACGCUUGCACCAGUAUGAUUCAUGCUGUCAAUUCCUGUCUCAAGUUAGAUUCGAGCUAAGUUUAUUUUGGGAGUAGUGGAUACAUACCUACCAUAUAGAGGUGCAGAAGAAAACAGUCUUUUUUGGCUGCAAAGACUGUAAAAGUUUGGGUUUCACAUCUCUAGAGAGCCAAAUUGGUGGUUGGACGUAAAGCAGAUGGACUUUGUACUCCGCUUUGAGUAGCCUGUGUAUACAUCCACAUUCUUUACGUAAACAGAAGCAUGGUUGCUGGAGGUUGCAACAUUAAUGAAAUAAAUACUGUAAGAGCUCUGUCCAAAGUUAA
Dromaius novaehollandiae (emu) is the source of this 20778-nucleotide long non-coding RNA. RefSeq lists it as uncharacterized. The transcript has 8 exons. NCBI's taxonomy places the organism in Eukaryota, Metazoa, Chordata, Aves, Casuariiformes, Dromaiidae. The record is from RefSeq and is a predicted model, not a curated record.